This 253-nucleotide ribosomal RNA is filed under the name uncultured bacterium. RNAcentral describes it as "partial 16S ribosomal RNA". It matches the Rfam family "Bacterial small subunit ribosomal RNA", at positions 524 to 776 of the family's 1533-position model. The record is from RNAcentral.
UACGGGGGGGGCAAGCGUUGUUCGGAAUUACUGGGCGUAAAGGGCUCGUAGGUGGCCAACUAAGUCAGACGUGAAAUCCCUCGGCUUAACCGGGGAACUGCGUCUGAUACUGGAUGGCUUGAGUUCGGUAGGGGAGUGGGGAAUUCCUGGUGUAGCGGUGAAAUGCGCAGAUAUCAGGAGGAACACCGGUGGCGAAGGCGCCACUCUGGGCCGAAACUGACGCUGAGGAGCGAAAGCGUGGGUAGCAAACAGG